ACACGGAGGGCGCAAGCGUUGCUCGGAAUCACAGGGCGUAAAGCGGGUGUAGGCGGUCUAGCAAGUCAGAUGUGAAAGCCCACGGCUCAACCGUGGGAGUGCAUCUGAAACUGCUAGACUUGAGUGCCGGAGAGGGAAGUGGAAUUCCUGGUGUAGGGGUGAAAUCCGUAGAUAUCAGGAGGAACACCGGUGGCGAAGGCGACUUCCUGGACGGCCACUGACGCUGAGACCCGAAAGCGUGGGGAGCAAACAGGAUUAGAAACCCUUGUAGUCC
RNAcentral lists this ribosomal RNA (274 nucleotides) under uncultured bacterium. RNAcentral describes it as "partial 16S ribosomal RNA". It matches the Rfam family "Bacterial small subunit ribosomal RNA", at positions 523 to 796 of the family's 1533-position model. The record is from RNAcentral.